Molecule: ribosomal RNA, 506 nt
Filed under: uncultured bacterium
Lineage: Bacteria
Description: partial 16S ribosomal RNA
Rfam family: Bacterial small subunit ribosomal RNA
Source: RNAcentral
AUUGAACGCUGGCGGCAGGCCUAACACAUGCAAGUCGGACGGUAGCACAGAGGAGCUUGCUCCUCGGGUGACGAGUGGCGGACGGGUGAGUAAUGUCUGGGAAACUGCCCGAUGGAGGGGGAUAACUACUGGAAACGGUAGCUAAUACCGCAUAGCGUCGCAAGACCAAAGUGGGGGACCUUCGGGCCUCACACCAUCGGAUGUGCCCAGAUGGGAUUAGCUGGUAGGCGGGGUAACGGCCCACCUAGGCGACGAUCCCUAGCUGGUCUGAGAGGAUGACCAGCCACACUGGAACUGAGACACGGUGCAGACUCAUACGGGAGGCAGCAGUGGGGAAUAUUGCACAAUGGGCGCAAGCCUGAUGCAGCCAUGCCGCGUGUAUGAAGAAGGCCUUCGGGUUGUAAAGUACUUUCAGCGGGGAGGAAGGUGCUGAGGUUAAUAAGCUCAGCAAUUGACGUUACCCGCAGAAGAAGCACCGGCUAACUCCGUGCCAGCCGCCGCCGUAA